This 1361-nucleotide ribosomal RNA is filed under the name uncultured organism. Its description in RNAcentral is "16S ribosomal RNA". It matches the Rfam family "Bacterial small subunit ribosomal RNA", at positions 92 to 1445 of the family's 1533-position model. The record is from RNAcentral.
UCAGCGGCGCAAGGGUGAGUAAUGCUUAGAUUACCUACCAUAAUGUUUGGGAUAACAUACCUAACGGUGUGCUAAUACCGGAUGUGGCUAUUUAUAGCUAAAGGGGGGUUUACCUUCCGCAUUAUGAGGGGUUUAAGUCCCAUUAGCUAGUAGGUAGAGUAAGAGUUACCUAGGCGAUGAUGGGUAGCCGGGCUGAGAGGCUGAUCGGCCACACUGGGACUGAGACACUGCCCAGACUCUUACGGGAGGCUGCAGUCGAGAAUCUUCGGCAAUGGGCGGAAGCCUGACCGAGCGAUGCUGCGUGGAUGAUGAAGGUCUUCGGAUUGUAAAAUCCUGUUAGAAGCUAGGAAUUAUUUGAACGCUAAUAUCGUUUAGAUUUGACAUAAACUUCAUAGAAAGCCACGGCUAAAUUCGUGCCAGCAGCCGCGGUAAUACGAAUGUGGCGAACGUUAUUCGGAAUUACUGGGCGUAAAGGGCGUGUAGGCUGCGUAUUAAGUCUGAUGUGAAAUUCCUCAGCUCAACUGAGGGCUUGCGUUGGAAACUGAUAUGCUAGAGUGCGAUAGGGGGAAGUGGAACUCCAUGUGGAGCGGUGAAAUGCGUAGAUAUGUGGAGGAACGCCGGUGGCGAAAGCGGCUUCCUGGAUCGCAACCGACGCUGAGGCGCGAAAGCCAGGGUAGCGAACGGGAUUAGAUACCCCGGUAGUCCUGGCUGUAAACGAUGGGUACUAGGUAGUAGAGGAGUCAGUGCUUUUACUGCCGCAGCCAACGCGUUAAGUACCCCGCCUGGGGAGUACGACCGCAAGGUUGAAACUCAAAGGAAUUGACGGGGGCUCACACAAGCGGUGGAGCAUGUGGUUUAAUUCGAAGCAACGCGAAGAACCUUACCAGGAUUUGACAUAUAGGUGGUACUGAUAAGAAAUUUGAAGGACUUGAGCAAUCGAGAGCCUAUACAGGUGUUGCAUGGCUGUCGUCAGCUCGUGCCGUGAGGUGUAGAGUUAAGUCUCGUAACGAGCGAAACCCUUGCCACUAGUUACCAGCACAUGAUGGUGGGGACUCUAGUGGGACUGCCGCGUAAAAGUAGGAGGAAGGUGGGGAUGACGUCAAGUCAUCAUGGCCCUUAUGUCCUGGGCUACACACGUGCUACAAUGGGUGCUACAGAGGGAAGCGAGUCAGAGAUGCGGAGCAAAUCUCCGAAAGGCAUCCUUAGUUCGGAUUGAAGGCUGCAAUUCGCCUUCAUGAAGCUGGAAUCGCUAGUAAUCGCGGGUCAUCAAUACCGCGGUGAAUAUGUUCCUGAGCCUUGUACACACCGCCCGUCAAGCCACGGGAGCUUGGAGCACUCGAAGUCGUUGACCCAACCUUAAG